This 806-nucleotide ribosomal RNA is filed under the name uncultured bacterium. RNAcentral describes it as "bacterial SSU rRNA". It matches the Rfam family "Bacterial small subunit ribosomal RNA", at positions 8 to 796 of the family's 1533-position model. The record is from RNAcentral.
AGAGUUUGAUCCUGGCUCAGGAUGAACGCUGGCGGCGUGCCUAAUACAUGCAAGUCGAGCGAACGGACGAGAAGCUUGCUUCUCUGAUGUUAGCGGCGGACGGGUGAGUAACACGUGGAUAACCUACCUAUAAGACUGGGAUAACUUCGGGAAACCGGAGCUAAUACCGGAUAAUAUUUUGAACCGCAUGGUUCAAAAGUGAAAGGCGGUCUUGCUGUCACUUAUAGAUGGAUCCGCGCUGCAUUAGCUAGUUGGUAAGGUAACGGCUUACCAAGGCAACGAUGCAUAGCCGACCUGAGAGGGUGAUCGGCCACACUGGAACUGAGACACGGUCCAGACUCCUACGGGAGGCAGCAGUAGGGAAUCUUCCGCAAUGGGCGAAAGCCUGACGGAGCAACGCCGCGUGAGUGAUGAAGGUCUUCGGAUCGUAAAACUCCGUUAUUAGGGAAGAACAUAUGUGUAAGUAACUGUGCACAUCUUGACGGUACCUAAUCAGAAAGCCACGGCUAACUACGUGCCAGCAGCCGCGGUAAUACGUAGGUGGCAAGCGUUAUCCGGAAUUAUUGGGCGUAAAGCGCGCGUAGGCGGUUUUUUAAGUCUGAUGUGAAAGCCCACGGCUCAACCGUGGAGGGUCAUUGGAAACUGGAAAACUUGAGUGCAGAAGAGGAAAGUGGAAUUCCAUGUGUAGCGGUGAAAUGCGCAGAGAUAUGGAGGAACACCAGUGGCGAAGGCGACUUUCUGGUCUGUAACUGACGCUGAUGUGCGAAAGCGUGGGGAUCAAACAGGAUUAGAUACCCUGGUAGUCC